CAAAGAAUAGUUAAGAUCAGAAUCUUA
RNAcentral lists this transfer RNA (27 nucleotides) under Ammodytes personatus (Pacific sandeel). Its description in RNAcentral is "partial tRNA-Pro". Lineage: Eukaryota; Metazoa; Chordata; Actinopteri; Uranoscopiformes; Ammodytidae. The record is from RNAcentral.